Molecule: ribosomal RNA, 614 nt
Filed under: uncultured archaeon
Lineage: Archaea
Description: bacterial SSU rRNA
Rfam family: Archaeal small subunit ribosomal RNA
Source: RNAcentral
UUCCGGUUGAUCCUGCCGGAGGUUACUGCUAUCGGUGUUCGCCUAAGCCAUGCGAGUCAUAUGUAGCAAUACAUGGCGUACUGCUCAGUAACACGUGGAUAACCUGCCCUUGGGACCGGCAUAACCCCGGGAAACUGGGGAUAAUUCCGGAUAACGCAUAUGUGCUGGAAUGCUUUAUGCGUAAAAUGGAUUCGUCUGCCCAAGGAUGGGUCUGCGGCCCAUCAGGUAGUAGUGGGUGUAAUGUACCUACUAGCCAGCGACGGGUACGGGUUGUGAGAGCAAGAGCCCGGAGAUGGAUUCUGAGACAUGAAUCCAGGCCCUACGGGGCGCAGCAGGCGCGAAAACUUUACAAUGCGGGAAACCGUGAUAAGGGGACACCGAGUGCCAGCAUCAUAUGCUGGCUGUCCAGGUGUGUAAAAUACACCUGUUAGCAAGGGCCGGGCAAGACCGGUGCCAGCCGCCGCGGUAACACCGGCGGCCCGAGUGGUGAUCGUGAUUAUUGGGUCUAAAGGGUCCGUAGCCGGUUUGGUCAGUCCUCCGGGAAAUCUGAUAGCUUAACUAUUAGGCUUUCGGGGGAUACUGCCAGACUUGGAACCGGGAGAGGUAAGAGGUAC